This 484-nucleotide ribosomal RNA is filed under the name uncultured bacterium. RNAcentral describes it as "partial 16S ribosomal RNA". It matches the Rfam family "Bacterial small subunit ribosomal RNA", at positions 30 to 507 of the family's 1533-position model. The record is from RNAcentral.
AUUGAACGCUGGCGGCAGGCCUAACACAUGCAAGUCGAGCGGAUGAAGGGAGCUUGCUCCUGGAUUCAGCGGCGGACGGGUGAGUAAUGCCUAGGAAUCUGCCUGAUAGUGGGGGAUAACGUCCGGAAACGGGCGCUAAUACCGCAUACGUCCUGAGGGAGAAAGUGGGGGAUCUUCGGACCUCACGCUAUCAGAUGAGCCUAGGUCGGAUUAGCUAGUUGGUGGGGUAAAGGCCUACCAAGGCGACGAUCCGUAACUGGUCUGAGAGUAUGAUCAGUCACACUGGAACUGAGACACGGUCCAGACUCCUACGGGAGGCAGCAGUGGGGAAUAUUGGACAAUGGGCGAAAGCCUGAUCCAGCCAUGCCGCGUGUGUGAAGAAGGUCUUCGGAUUGUAAAGCACUUUAAGUUGGGAGGAAGGGCAGUAAGUUAAUACCUUGCUGUUUUGACGUUACCAACAGAAUAAGCACCGGCUAACUUCGUG